CGAACGGGUGAGUAACAUAUCGGAACGUACCAUUCAGUGGGGGAUAACGCAGCGAAAGUUGCGCUAAUACCGCAUAUUGUGAGCGAAAGCAGCGCUGAUUGAGCGGCCGAUAUCAGAUUAGCUAGUUGGCGGGGUAAAGGCCCACCAAGGCGACGAUCUGUAGCGGGUCUGAGAGGAUGAUCCGCCACACUGGGACUGAGACACGGCCCAGACUCCUACGGGAGGCAGCAGUGGGGAAUUUUGGACAAUGGGCGCAAGCCUGAUCCAGCCAUGCCGCGUGAGUGAAGAAGGCCUUCGGGUUGUAAAGCUCUUUCGCGAGGGAAGAAUGACGGGUCCUUGAUAAGAAGCACCGGCUAACUACGUGCCAGCAGCCGCGGUAAUACGUAGGGUGCGAGCGU
This 398-nucleotide ribosomal RNA is filed under the name uncultured soil bacterium. RNAcentral describes it as "bacterial SSU rRNA". It matches the Rfam family "Bacterial small subunit ribosomal RNA", at positions 99 to 541 of the family's 1533-position model. The record is from RNAcentral.